UUUUUGCUGCUAGUUGUAGUUUUUGCAGACAAUAGGCAGACAGAAAAGAGGGCGAGGAGAAGGGGGAGGACAUGUGGCAAAGGUCGCCGGGACCGGGAGUCGAACCCGCAACGUCCGCAUCGAGGACUAAGG
Molecule: long non-coding RNA, 132 nt
Organism: Xiphophorus hellerii (green swordtail)
Lineage: Eukaryota; Metazoa; Chordata; Actinopteri; Cyprinodontiformes; Poeciliidae
Exons: 3
Source: RefSeq, a predicted model, not a curated record